UUAUUACCAGUUGUAGCCUCUUUACAACAGUCGAUCUUGUGCUUCAGCGUCUUGGUCGUAUGCAGUAAGACACAGGUUCCAUCUCCAGGGAAUAUAGAGAUCAAAUCAAAGACACAAUGGAGUGGUUUUUAAGCACAGUGUUGUUUUUCUCCAUCACUGGGACACUCACUGAUGCUUGGUGUCACUGUAACACUGCAGCUGCCUGUGCCGUGUUCCCCUCUACCCCCUGUAGCCAGGUCGGUGAUCCAGACAGAUGUCAGAAAGUAUGGUUCGGUACCUACUGCCAGGAACGAAAUAUUGCCUCAGGAAGAACUGCCACACAGAGCAGUACAUACACUGAAACCAGCGUCAAUACAGGGAAUACAGCACACAGUUACGACGCCAGGUACGGCGUGGAU
Haliotis rubra (blacklip abalone) is the source of this 398-nucleotide long non-coding RNA. RefSeq lists it as uncharacterized. The transcript has 4 exons. The record is from RefSeq and is a predicted model, not a curated record. NCBI's taxonomy places the organism in Eukaryota, Metazoa, Mollusca, Gastropoda, Lepetellida, Haliotidae.